This 119-nucleotide non-coding RNA is filed under the name Ensifer sp. RNAcentral's name for it is "TPP sequence". It matches the Rfam family "TPP riboswitch aptamer (THI element)". From Rfam's summary of the family: Vitamin B(1) in its active form thiamin pyrophosphate (TPP) is an essential coenzyme that is synthesised by coupling of pyrimidine and thiazole moieties in bacteria. The previously detected thiamin-regulatory element, thi box was extended, resulting in a new, highly conserved RNA secondary structure, the THI element, which is widely distributed in eubacteria and also occurs in some archaea. The record is from RNAcentral. Lineage: Bacteria; Pseudomonadati; Pseudomonadota; Alphaproteobacteria; Hyphomicrobiales; Rhizobiaceae.
GCCGCUCUAACGGGGUGCCUCCCGACCACAUGGCGGCCGGAGGCUGAGAGGCGUCAAAACGCCAACCCGCGGAACCUGAUCCGGCUCAUACCGGCGGAGGGAUUAGACGCGAUCGCACC